This 1439-nucleotide long non-coding RNA is filed under the name Zostera marina. RNAcentral's name for it is "long non-coding RNA (ZMAR_LNC001121)". Lineage: Eukaryota; Viridiplantae; Streptophyta; Magnoliopsida; Alismatales; Zosteraceae. The record is from RNAcentral.
AUUUUUCAGCUUUCUGGUAAAACCCUCUAUUUCGGCAUCUAAUAUUGAUCGUUUCUUGUCAUCGUCGUCCGCAUCGUCCUCAUCAUCAUUCAUCACAUGCACGUCGAAUUCUUCCGCGGCGGAUUCGCUUUCUGGGUGAGAACAAAUCUCCAACUCAAACUCAUGUUCCAGAGAUCUGUCCAAUCUCCGGUUAGGAGGUGGCGGCGGUGGAGGAGGUUGGGGAAGAGGAUGCAGGAGAGUUUUGUAUCUGUCGACUGAAACAACGCCCUUCUCCUGAUAGUCCAUCUCGGUAACAUCGCCGAUGGUAGUAACUAUGGGAAAAUUCUGGGCUUUAUUGUUAUCUUCUUCCUCGUCAUCACCAUCAUUAUCCAUACGUGAUGAUACACCUCUCCAGAUUUUAUUGCUGAAUUUAACCUUCUCCUUCUUCCUUACAGACUCGAAGAUCUCGUGUAACAUCUCGGAUGUCUCAUCUUCUUCGUCUUCCUGUUCUUCAUCGAUCCAAUUUUCUUGCCUUCCGGUAACGUCGCUGUUCGCCGACACAAUCUUUUUGUAAGUUUCAACCUUAUUUUCCAACUCCAGCACCUUCUUUUCUCUUCUUAUUAUGAUCUCUUUAAGCUUCUCCAUCUCAUCCUCGUCAUAAAUGCUCUUCUCUUCCAUCAUUCUCUUGUACUGUCUUGCAUUCAUCUCCACCGUUGCCUUGUCCUUCUGGAUCUUAUCAAUCAUCAACAUCGCCUCGUCCGCUGCGCUUGCCGCUGCGUUUCUCUCCUCCUCAAGCGCACGUUCCAGCAUUCUUACUUUCUCUCCAUCUUCGGAACAACCAUCCACAUCGAAUCGUUUGUUGUUCGAAAUAGAGAACCGCCGCGUCACACUUGGCGUCGGACUCGAGUUCUGUCUACCCAAAAAAUGCGAAGAACCGCAUGAUUCGUCUCUUUCCGCAACCCACAUUGAGUCGAAGGGAGGUCGUCUUUUGGCGGCGUUCUGGACGAAUCUUAUAGUCGUCACCGGACCAGAUGCAAGAGGACAUUUAUCUCCACCGGCACUGAACAGUCCAGAGCAGCAAGGGCAGGGGAGGUCAAGGUAGAAGAGAGAAAGGAGUUUGGAGGUGAGGAAGGUGAUGAAAGAACAGAAGAGAACAAGGAAGGUGAUGGUUAAGUCAAGGAAAGCUCCGACGAGAGAGAGGAAUGUCCACGUUUUCGUAUUCCGGCAUCUCAUCGGAAACUGGUGGAAGAAGUGAGAGCGGGGAGGGGGGGGAGAAGAACGUUGGAAUUUUUGACCGUUUUUUUGGAGGCAACAGCAGUAAUGAAUUGUGAGUAGUAGAGCGAUCUGUUUUAAAAACUUGAGGUUUUAUUUAUAUUUUAGCCCUUUUGUUACGGUAGAAUAGUGAAUGACAGUUCGUUUUGGGAAAAUUGCAUCUUGUACGGAAAUUACUAAGGUUUCUU